UACGGGAGGCAGCAGGGGGAAUAUUGCACAAUGGGCGAAAGCCUGAUGCAGCUAUGCCGCGUGUAUGAAGAAGGCCUUAGGGUUGUAAAGUACUUUCAGCAGGGAGGAAAGAAAUAAAACUAAUAAUUUUAUUUUGUGACGUUACCUGAAGAAGAAGCACCGGCUAACUCCGUGCCAGCAGCCGCGGUAAUACGGAGGGUGCGAGCGUUAAUCGGAAUUACUGGGCGUAAAGGGCACGCAGGCGGUUAAUUAAGUUGGAUGUGAAAUCCCCGGGCUUAACCUGGGAAUGGCAUUCAAGACUGGUUAGCUAGAGUCUUGUAGAGGGGGGUAGAAUUCCAUGUGUAGCGGUGAAAUGCGUAGAGAUGUGGAGGAAUACCGGUGGCGAAGGCGGCCCCUGGACAAAGACUGACGCUCAUGUGCGAAAGCGUGGGGAGCAAACAGGGAUUAGAUACC
Molecule: ribosomal RNA, 453 nt
Filed under: uncultured bacterium
Lineage: Bacteria
Description: bacterial SSU rRNA
Rfam family: Bacterial small subunit ribosomal RNA
Source: RNAcentral